AACUACGUGCCAGCAGCCGCGGUAAUACGUAGGGGGCAAGCGUUAUCCGGAUUUACUGGGUGUAAAGGGGGCGCAGACGGCAGCGCAAGCCAGGAGUGAAAGCCCGGGGCCCAACCCCGGGACUGCUCUUGGAACUGCGCGGCUGGAGUGCAGGAGGGGCAGGCGGAAUUCCUGGUGUAGCGGUGAAAUGCGUAGAUAUCAGGAGGAACACCGGUGGCGAAGGCGGCCUGCUGGACUGCGACUGACGUUGAGGCCCGAAAGCGUGGGGAGCAAACAGGAUUAGAUACCCUGGUAGGCCCACCAAG
Molecule: ribosomal RNA, 305 nt
Filed under: uncultured bacterium
Lineage: Bacteria
Description: bacterial SSU rRNA
Rfam family: Bacterial small subunit ribosomal RNA
Source: RNAcentral